RNAcentral lists this ribosomal RNA (497 nucleotides) under uncultured bacterium. RNAcentral describes it as "partial 16S ribosomal RNA". It matches the Rfam family "Bacterial small subunit ribosomal RNA", at positions 28 to 507 of the family's 1533-position model. The record is from RNAcentral.
GAUGAACGCUGGCGGCGUGCCUAACACAUGCAAGUCGAACGGAAAGACGAUGAGCUUGUGCCCUUCACGUUGGCGGAGGGCGGGAGAGUAACGCGUGGAUCGCCUACUUCUCUUUCGGGGAUGAUAACGUAAGACGGGAUCUGAUACCAGAGCAUCUAUUGCACCGCAGGGUUCAAUGGAGAAUGACGGCUUUGGCGACUGUAAUAGCCGCUUCCGCGCCGCAUUAGCUAGUGGGUAGGUUCACAGCCUACCAAGGCAACGAUGCGUGGCCGAGCUGAGAGGGUGAUCGGCCACACUGGAACUGAGACACGGUCCAGACUCCUACGGGAGGCAGCAGUAGGGAAUCUUCCGCAAUGGGCGAAAGCCUGACGCAGCAAGGCCGCGUGAGUGAUGAAGGCCUUCGGGUCGUAAAGCCCUCUUAUUGGGUAAGAACAGAUGUGGAAUUAACCAUGGACGUCGUGACGGUACCGAAUCAAUAAGCACCGGCUAACUACGUG